Molecule: ribosomal RNA, 466 nt
Filed under: uncultured bacterium
Lineage: Bacteria
Description: partial 16S ribosomal RNA
Rfam family: Bacterial small subunit ribosomal RNA
Source: RNAcentral
GAUGAACGCUGGCGGCGUGCUUAACACAUGCAAGUCGAACGGAAAGGCCGCUGCUUGCAGGGGUACUCUAGUGGCGAACGGGUGAGUUACCCGUGGGUUAUCUGCCCUGCACUUCGGGAUAAGCUUGGGAAACUGGGUCUAAUACCGGCUAGGACGAUGGGUCGGAUGCCAUUGUGGAAAGUUUUUUCGGUGUUGGAUGAGUUGGCGGCCUAUCAGGUUGGUGUCGGGGUAUGGGCAUACCAAAGCGUCGACCGGUAGCCGACCUGAGAGGGUGUACUGCCCCGUUAGGCCUGAGAUACGGCACAGACUCGUACCGGACGCAACGGUGGAGAGUAUUACACAAGAGGCGCGAGCCUGGUGCGACGACGCCGCGUGGGGGAAGACAGGCUUCGGGUUGUGAACUCAUGUCGCUAGAGACGGGGCGCAAGUGACGGUACCUGGAGAAGAAGCACCGGCUAACUACGUG